ACACUGCAGACGGCUCAGUAACACGUAGUCAACAUGCCCAGGGGACGUGGAUAACCUCGGGAAACUGAGGAUAAACCGCGAUAGGUCACUACUUCUGGAAUGGGUAAUGACUUAAAUCUAUAUGGCCCCUGGAUUGGACUGCGGCCGAUCAGGCUGUUGGUGAGGUAAUGGCCCACCAAACCUGUAACCGGUACGGGCUCUGAGAGGAGGAGCCCGGAGAUGGGCACUGAGACAAGGGCCCAGGCCCUAUGGGGCGCAGCAGGCGCGAAACCUCUGCAAUAGGCGAAAGCCUGACAGGGUUACUCUGAGUGAUUUCCGUUAAGGAGAUCUUUUGGCAUCUCUAAAAAUGGUGCAGAAUAAGGGGUGGGCAAGUCUGAUGUCAGCCGCCGCGGUAAUACCAGCACCCCGAGUGGUCGGGACGUUUAUUGGGCCUAAAGCAUCCGUAGCCGGUUCUACAAGUCUUCCGUUAAAUCCAGCUGCUUAACAGAUGGGCCGCGGAAGAUACUAUGGAGCUAGGAGGCGGGAGAGGCAAGCGGUACUCGAUGGGUAGGGGUAAAAUCCGUUGAUCCAUUGAAGACCACCAG
This 584-nucleotide ribosomal RNA is filed under the name uncultured archaeon. RNAcentral describes it as "bacterial SSU rRNA". It matches the Rfam family "Archaeal small subunit ribosomal RNA", at positions 76 to 663 of the family's 1478-position model. The record is from RNAcentral.